CAGUAGCCGCGGGAACACAGAGGGUGCAAGCGUUAAUCGGAGUUACUGGGCGUAAAGGGCGCGUAGGCGGUUAUAUAAGUGAGAUGUGAAAUCCCUGGGCUUAACCUAGGAACUGCAUCUUAUACUGUAUGGCUAGAGUAUUGUAGAGGGUAGUGGAAUUUCCGGUGUAGCGGUGAAAUGCGUAGAGAUCGGAAGGAACACCAGUGGCGAAGGCGGCUACCUGGACAAAUACUGACGCUGAGGCGCGAAAGCGUGGGGAGCAAACAGGAUUAGAUACCCGUGUAGUCCCUGUCUCUUAUAC
This 301-nucleotide ribosomal RNA is filed under the name uncultured bacterium. Its description in RNAcentral is "partial 16S ribosomal RNA". It matches the Rfam family "Bacterial small subunit ribosomal RNA", at positions 509 to 807 of the family's 1533-position model. The record is from RNAcentral.